This 71-nucleotide transfer RNA is filed under the name Neotoma lepida (desert woodrat). It matches the Rfam family "tRNA". From Rfam's summary of the family: Transfer RNA (tRNA) molecules are approximately 80 nucleotides in length. Their secondary structure includes four short double-helical elements and three loops (D, anti-codon, and T loops). Further hydrogen bonds mediate the characteristic L-shaped molecular structure. tRNAs have two regions of fundamental functional importance: the anti-codon, which is responsible for specific mRNA codon recognition, and the 3' end, to which the tRNAs corresponding amino acid is attached (by aminoacyl-tRNA synthetases). tRNAs cope with the degeneracy of the genetic code in two manners: having more than one tRNA (with a specific anti-codon) for a particular amino acid; and 'wobble' base-pairing, i.e. permitting non-standard base-pairing at the 3rd anti-codon position. The record is from Rfam by way of RNAcentral. Lineage: Eukaryota; Metazoa; Chordata; Mammalia; Rodentia; Cricetidae.
GGGAGUGUAGCUCAGUGAUAGAGUACUUGUCUGGUAUGUAUGAGGCCUGGGUUCAAUGCCUAGUACUACAG